RNAcentral lists this long non-coding RNA (255 nucleotides) under Elaeis guineensis (African oil palm). RNAcentral's name for it is "long non-coding RNA (EGUI_LNC008046)". Lineage: Eukaryota; Viridiplantae; Streptophyta; Magnoliopsida; Arecales; Arecaceae. The record is from RNAcentral.
GCUCAUCUAAUUCUCACCUUGAUUAAGACUUCUUUAUCCUCAAACCAUUCCCUAGCCCUUAUUUCGUGCUCUGCCGCCCUCCUGCUUUCUCUAUCACGAGACCUUUAUCUAUCAGAUCCAAGUUUAUACGCUAUCCAUAUUCCUACCACCGCUAUCAUGAUUUUUAUCGUGGAAAAGUUAAUCAACUUUUUUAUUGACCAAUUUAUUCAUGUUCCACACUUUUCAAGAUACAUAAGUUACUUUUCAGAGAUAGCA